CGGGGGCCGCGGCCGGAGCACAGCGCUGCGCGACGGAGGGAGGGAGGGCGCGGAGUAAGGAGGCGGCGAGAUAGCGACCCGCAGGCACGACUCCGGAGCGCCGGCAGCGAGCGGGAGGAGCCGCUUCGGACGGAGGAAGGGAGCCGCACGCAGCGGAGCGGAGCGCGGCGCGGAUCACCUCACCCGGCCACCAGCCCCGUGCCUGCCGGCAGGAGAGAGGGGCUGCCCCUCCGCCCGCCCGCACCCCCGCUGCCCCCGCCCGUGGCGGAUGCAGCGCGCAGCCCCCGGAGCGCCGCAAUCCAGGAGGAGACGCCGGUGUUAGAUCUUCUCCGGUUGCGGAGUACUGUAAACUCAAAACCUGGAAGUCUCCAGGUAACAAAUAACAAUUCUUGCUGUAUGACUUCUUGAUUACUCCUUGCCUUUCCUCCAGUGAUAUUAGGCAGAUCAUCACUGUGGCCUGAAAUUAUCGUGUAAAACUGAAUUCCAUUUUCCUUCUUUUUUUCUUGGUUAAUACUACAUUUAUGUUAUGUUUCUUUGCUCUCCGAUUUCUCUCACUUCAGAUACUUUAGCAUUUAGGACAGAGGUGUCUUUUAGUUGCUGAUUCAUUGAGGCCAAGAGGUUAAUUCCACUGCUGCAGAGGUACACUCCUAAGGGGAACAUCCUGAGGGAUGUACACCAUUAAGGGACUGCAGAAGCACUGAUAGUGGAACGGGCUUGUCUUAAGAGCCUACUGCACUUACUGUCUUUACUGUAUACAGAGUGAGUGAGAUUAUGGCGUGUCCAUUUUUUCUUAUACUCUCUCUAUUUUACUGUGUUUUUUUUUCUUUUUCUCAUUAUUUAUUAAACUGCAGGGUCAAAAUAUUUUGUCCCUUGAGUACGUGAGUGCUGGGGAAAAAACCACCUGUGAUUCUGCCAUUGUGCCUCUGAGCCUUUUCAGAGGGUUGUGGCAAGUUGAUGCUUGCUCCUCGGUUUUAUAUGCCAUGCAGACCUAAAAGGUUCUCCAGUAUGGGGAAAAAAUAUUAGGUUUUCUUUGUUGUUGUUGUUUUGUUUUUCAGUGAGCUAUCCAAAAGGAUGAAAAGUGAAAAUGUGUGUAUUGGUAAAGCCAAUAUGUGACAAAUAAAAUUAAGUUGUUCGUGUUAGUGAAUGAGAUA
Molecule: long non-coding RNA, 1151 nt
Filed under: Numida meleagris (helmeted guineafowl)
Lineage: Eukaryota; Metazoa; Chordata; Aves; Galliformes; Numididae
Description: lncRNA (ENSNMEG00000005343.1)
Source: RNAcentral